GGGAGCGAGAGAGAGAGAGAGAGAGAGAGCUCCAAACAGAGUCAGAGAUUGCAAUGGAAGCUUCUUCUUUUUUUUUUUCCCUUCUCUUUCGAUGGAACCGCGAAAUAGCAUACGAGAGAGUGAGAGGGAAGCGGCUGAGCUAAGCAAAAUUCGUAGGAGAAGAGGGCUGAGCUUUGGGGAGCUUCUGAACGGAGCAACAGCUCCGUUAUUUCCUUUCGUUUUGCGUAGAACAAAGCACAGUGAGGCGACCAGAAGCACACCAGAGGGAGAAAUCAAAUGGAGGAAGACAGAGAACAGAGCAAACGGAGAGAUGAGAAAGGGUCUGAAGAGGGAGAUAAGUUUCCAACUGCGCGGAGGAACCACUUUUUGAUAUCGGGGAUCAGCUUGGAGAACUAGAUUUUCGUUUUGGGCUGGAAAAUCUGAAGAAGAAAACAGAGCAAGAGAUAGAAAGAGAGACAGAGAAAGUUAAGGAAAGAAAAGGAACGAAGACAUGAGUUACCAUUCACUUCUUCUUCUUCUUCUUCUUUCCUUCUUGUUCUGUUCUGUUGCUUUCUUUUUCUUCCCUCCUUCUAUUAUGCUGCGGGAGUUAAGGGAGAAAUAGAGAAACAGAGGAUGGGAGAAGAAAGAGACAGAACAGAGUGAGCUGAGGAAGGAACCAAGGGGGAGAGGAAGGCUAGGCUCGGGUUCUUGAAGGAUCGCGGAGACUGAAUCCUAGCACUAAAAGGGUUGAUCCAAUGAGCUGUUUUUCUUGGAGUUGUCGAUAAGUUUCCAAUUGCGCGGAGGAACCACUUUUUGAUAUCGGGGAUCAGCUUGGAGAACUAGGUAGGAACCUUAGUUAUUUGAUUAGAUAUCCUUUUUGUAUAGAAUGGACUUUAGAAUGUUACGACCUGAAGAUUUUGUUUAGUUGUACCACUGAUGGGAGAGCGAAAAAGAAAUCUCUGGAAAAGUGUAUAUACCUAUUAGAGUUGAUGGAUUGGUUAUAUACUUUGGAAAUUUAUGAGAAGUAAGUUUUAUGUGAAAAUUCUUUA
Non-coding RNA from Punica granatum (pomegranate), 1028 nucleotides. Lineage: Eukaryota; Viridiplantae; Streptophyta; Magnoliopsida; Myrtales; Lythraceae. The record is from RefSeq and is a predicted model, not a curated record.